AUUGAACGCUGGCGGCAUGCCUUACACAUGCAAGUCGAACGGUAACAGGUUAAGCUGACGAGUGGCGAACGGGUGAGUAAUGUAUCGGAACGUGCCCAGUCGUGGGGGAUAACGUAGCGAAAGCUACGCUAAUACCGCAUACGAUCUACGGAUGAAAGAGGGGGAACGGAAGCCCUCGCGCGACUUGAGCUGCCGAUAUCAGCUUAGGUUGUUGGUGAGGUAAAAGCGCACCAAGCCUGCGAUCUGUAGCUGGUCUGAGAGGACGACUAGCCACACUGGAACUGAGACACGGUCCAGACUCCUACGGGAGGCAGCAGUGGGGAAUUUUGGACAAUGGACGCAAGUCUGAUCCAGCAAUGCCGCGUGCAGGACGAAGGCCUUCGGGUUGUAAACUGCUUUUGUACGGAACGAAACGGUGAGCUCUAAUACAGUUUGCUAAUGACGGUACCGUAAGAAUAAGCACCGGCUAACUACGUGCCAGCAGCCGCCGUAA
Molecule: ribosomal RNA, 493 nt
Filed under: uncultured bacterium
Lineage: Bacteria
Description: partial 16S ribosomal RNA
Rfam family: Bacterial small subunit ribosomal RNA
Source: RNAcentral